This 468-nucleotide ribosomal RNA is filed under the name uncultured bacterium. RNAcentral describes it as "partial 16S ribosomal RNA". It matches the Rfam family "Bacterial small subunit ribosomal RNA", at positions 28 to 507 of the family's 1533-position model. The record is from RNAcentral.
GACGAACGCUGGCGCCGCCCUAACCACAGGCAGUCCGAACGGAUCCAGGGGGAGCUUGCUUUCUUGGCCUUGGUGCCGAACGGGUGGUUAACCCGGGGUUAACUUGCCUGGGGUGGGGGGCCACCGUUGGAAACGGCUGCUAAUUCCGCCAUAGCCCCCCGGUCUUCCUUGGACUUCCGGGAAAAGGAUUUAUUCGCUCUAGGAUGGACUCGCGCCCAAUUAGCUAGUUGGUGAGGUAACGGCCCACCAAGGCGACGAUUGGUAGCCGGACUGAGAGGUUGAACGGCCACAUUGGGACUGAGACACGGCCCAGACUCCUACGGGAGGCAGCAGUGGGGGAUAUUGCACAAUGGGGGAAACCCUGAUGCAGCGACGCCGCGUGGAGGAAGAAGGUUUUCGGAUUGUAAACUCCUGUCGUUAGGGACGAUAAUGACGGUACCUAACAAGAAAGCACCGGCUAACUACGUG